This 497-nucleotide ribosomal RNA is filed under the name uncultured bacterium. RNAcentral's name for it is "partial 16S ribosomal RNA". It matches the Rfam family "Bacterial small subunit ribosomal RNA", at positions 28 to 507 of the family's 1533-position model. The record is from RNAcentral.
GAUGAACGCUGGCGGCGUGCCUAAUACAUGCAAGUCGAGCGAACAGACGAGGAGCUUGCUCCUCUGACGUUAGCGGCGGACGGGUGAGUAACACGUGGAUAACCUACCUAUAAGACUGGGAUAACUUCGGGAAACCGGAGCUAAUACCGGAUAAUAUAUUGAACCGCAUGGUUCAAUAGUGAAAGACGGUUUUGCUGUCACUUAUAGAUGGAUCCUCGCCGCAUUAGCUAGUUGGUAAGGUAACGGCUUACCAAGGCGACGAUGCGUAGCCGACCUGAGAGGGUGAUCGGCCACACUGGAACUGAGACACGGUCCAGACUCCUACGGGAGGCAGCAGUAGGGAAUCUUCCGCAAUGGGCGAAAGCCUGACGGAGCAACGCAGCGUGAGUGAUGAAGGUCUUCGGAUCGUAAAACUCUGUUAUUAGGGAAGAACAAAUGUGUAAGUAACUAUGCACGUCUUGACGGUACCUAAUCAGAAAGCCACGGCUAACUACGUG